RNAcentral lists this ribosomal RNA (477 nucleotides) under uncultured bacterium. Its description in RNAcentral is "partial 16S ribosomal RNA". It matches the Rfam family "Bacterial small subunit ribosomal RNA", at positions 30 to 507 of the family's 1533-position model. The record is from RNAcentral.
AUUGAACGCUGGCGGCAUGCCUUACACAUGCAAGUCGAACGGUAACAGGUUAAGCUGACGAGUGGCGAACGGGUGAGUAAUGUAUCGGAACGUGCCCAGUCGUGGGGGAUAACUGCUCGAAAGAGCAGCUAAUACCGCAUACGACCUGAGGGUGAAAGCGGGGGAUCGCAAGACCUCGCGCGAUUGGAGCGGCCGAUAUCAGAUUAGGUAGUUGGUGAGGUAAAGGCUCACCAAGCCGACGAUCUGUAGCUGGUCUGAGAGGACGACCAGCCACACUGGGACUGGGACACGGCCCAGACUCCUACGGGAGGCAGCAGUGGGGAAUUUUGGACAAUGGGCGCAAGCCUGAUCCAGCCAUGCCGCGUGCGGGAAGAAGGCCUUCGGGUUGUAAACCGCUUUUGUCAGGGAAGAAAAGGUUCUGGCUAAUACCUGGGACUCAUGACGGUACCUGAAGAAUAAGCACCGGCUAACUACGUG